Molecule: ribosomal RNA, 119 nt
Organism: Pteropus vampyrus (large flying fox)
Lineage: Eukaryota; Metazoa; Chordata; Mammalia; Chiroptera; Pteropodidae
Source: Ensembl
GUCUCCGGCCACGCCACCCUGAACGAGCCCCAUCCCGUCUGGUCUCAGAAGCUAAGGAGGGUCGGGCCUGGUUAGUACUCGGAUGGGAGACCACCUAGGAAGACCGGAUGCUGUAGGUG